AGAGUUUGAUCCUGGCUCAGGAUGAACGCUGGCGGUCUGCUUAACACAUGCAAGUCGAACGGACUCUUCGGAGUUAGUGGCGGACGGGUGAGUAACGCGUGAGAAUCUACCUUCAGGACGGAGACAACAGUUGGAAACGACUGCUAACCCCCGAUGAACCGAAAGGGCAAAUAUUUAUAGCCUGAAGAAGAGCUCGCGUCCGAUUAGCUAGUUGGAGAGGUAAAAGCUCACCAAGGCGACGAUCGGUAGCUGGUCUGAGAGGACGAUCAGCCACACUGGGACUGAGACACGGCCCAGACUCCUACGGGAGGCAGCAGUGGGGAAUUUUCCGCAAUGGGCGAAGGCCUGACGGAGCAAUACCGCGUGAGGGAGGAAGGCUCUUGGGUCGUAAACCUCUUUUAUUAGGGAAGAAGAUCUGACGGUACCUAAUGAAAUCAGCAUCGAUUCCCCC
This 451-nucleotide ribosomal RNA is filed under the name uncultured cyanobacterium. Its description in RNAcentral is "bacterial SSU rRNA". It matches the Rfam family "Bacterial small subunit ribosomal RNA", at positions 8 to 503 of the family's 1533-position model. The record is from RNAcentral. Lineage: Bacteria; Bacillati; Cyanobacteriota.